UGUAAGCGUAUACCAAAGUUGUUGCAGUUAAAACGCUCGUAGUCGGAAUUUGGCAGUUCCGGAUGUGUGCACGUCGUGUUCGCACUUCGCGGGGAUUGCUUUUGUGGUCUUGCGUAGGAUGAGGCACUUUUAUUAGUGAACGUCCUCACGCAACCACUUUUUACUGUGAGAAAAUCAGAGUGCUCAAAGCAGGCAUUUGCCGUGAAUGUAUUAGCAUGGAAUAAUAGAAUAGGACUUGGUUCUAUUUUGUUGGUUUGUUGGGACUGAGUAAUGAUUAAGAGGGACAGUUGGGGGCAUUUGUAUUUCGGUGCUAGAGGUGAAAUUCUUAGAUUACCGAAAGACAAACUGCUGCGAAAGCGUCUGCCAAGGAUGUUUUCAUUGA
RNAcentral lists this ribosomal RNA (382 nucleotides) under uncultured eukaryote. RNAcentral describes it as "partial 18S ribosomal RNA". It matches the Rfam family "Eukaryotic small subunit ribosomal RNA", at positions 592 to 976 of the family's 1831-position model. The record is from RNAcentral.